CCUACGGGAGGCAGCAGUAGGGAAUCUUCCGCAAUGGACGAAAGUCUGACGGAGCAACGCCGCGUGAACGAUGAAGGCCUUCGGGUCGUAAAGUUCUGUUGUUAGGGAAGAACAAGUGCUAGUUGAAUAAGCUGGCACCUUGACGGUACCUAACCAGAAAGCCACGGCUAACUACGUGCCAGCAGCCGCGGUAAUACGUAGGUGGCAAGCGUUGUCCGGAAUUAUUGGGCGUAAAGCGCGCGCAGGCGGUUUCUUAAGUCUGAUGUGAAAGCCCCCGGCUCAACCGGGGAGGGUCAUUGGAAACUGGGAAACUUGAGUGCAGAAGAGGAAAGUGGAAUUCCAAGUGUAGCGGUGAAAUGCGUAGAGAUUUGGAGGAGCACCAGUGGCGAAGGCGACUUUCUGGUCUGUAACUGACGCUGAGGCGCGAAAGCGUGGGGAGCAAACAGGAUUAGAUACCCUGGUAGUCCACGCUGUAAACGAUGAGUGCUAAGUGUUAGAGGGUUUCCGCCCUUUAGUGCUGAAGUUAACGCAUUAAGCACUCCGCCUGGGGGAGGUACGGUCGCGAGGACGUGAACGUACGAAAGGAAGUUAGUACGGCGUGAGACGUGCCGACGGACGACGACGAGGGAGGAGG
Molecule: ribosomal RNA, 634 nt
Filed under: uncultured bacterium
Lineage: Bacteria
Description: bacterial SSU rRNA
Rfam family: Bacterial small subunit ribosomal RNA (bases 1-545)
Source: RNAcentral